Molecule: long non-coding RNA, 2006 nt
Organism: Ziziphus jujuba (common jujube)
Lineage: Eukaryota; Viridiplantae; Streptophyta; Magnoliopsida; Rosales; Rhamnaceae
Exons: 2
Source: RefSeq, a predicted model, not a curated record
AGCAACACACGUAAUUUAGCCCGGCAGCCGUUUGUAAAACCCCGUUCCUAGUAUGUGAAUCUUAUCCUUAAAACUACACUACUAGUACUCCUCCGGAUAAACAUUAGACUGCCCUAUAUUUUCCAUUGAUAUUAUCGGCACUGGACUGGAUUUUGUUACGUGUGGCAGAGAGCUUGUUUCCAAAGGUUUUACAUUCAUAAUACCCCACUUAUCAAACGGUUCAUGCCAGAUCUAUUUUUAUAUAUACGCAUCAAUCCUGAUGAUGAUGAUCUUGCUCGGCCAGCAUAAGUCCUCAACGGUCCACAUGACCUCCAAAUGGAAACACAUAUGGUCCUAAAACAUACAAGUAAAGCUGAAAAGUUGUAGAGAGGGUGUGUUCUUUUGGGCAUCAGAAACGAGGGAGUUUAAAGGGGCUGAGAGAAGAGGUUAGAGAGUAAGUGAAGGCAAAGAAAAGACUGAUGGAGGGGUGAUGGGGUGGGUUAGAGUAGAGGGGUUUCAUCAGAAACGAGGGAGAGGGGAAGAAUAACUAUGAUGAUCCUUUUCUUUGAUCCUUCUAAAUAUGCCCCCCUUCUCCCUCCCCUAUAUGAAUAGGAAUGAACUAUCUAUCCAAUCUGCUUUUCUUUAUUUUUAUUUUUAUUUUUUUAGUCUCAGAAUGAAAGAAACCACCUCCCCUUUCCUCUCUUCUUCUCUCCUAUCCUUCUGCAGUACUUUUGCUUCUCGUCAGUAUCAAAUAUCAUCAAUUCAUUAAUUAAUUACACCUACAUAGCCCACAAACCCCCCCUUCUCGCUCGCCUAUUUACUGUACUCCUUCCCAUCAGAUCUUAAAUAGAGCCCCCGUCUUCCCCCCUUCUCUCCAAUCUUCCCCUCCCAUAGCUUUAUUACUUUCGCUCUACUCUAUGUCCUUCCGUGGUUCUUCGAAGGGUGAAUACGAAGGUCUGUUUUCUGACUUCAUCUGGGUUUGAUAAAGGGUUUCUCACAGAGUUUAUUGGCAUUCUGUCCACCUCCCAUUAUUAAAAACAAAAAAAUAAAUAAAUAAAUCUCUCUCUCAUUGUCUCUCUCAAAUAUGCUAUGGAGGUGGGCAUACUGCCAACUGAGUUCUGUUGGCUUCUCUUUGUAAAACCCUCGUGAUGUAAUCUUCCAGUAUGCAAUAUUUCUAUAUAUGCACCUUUUCUCAGCUCUGAUGGAAAUCAAGGUAAAAGUACCCCAUGACUAGUUGUUAAUACGUUCUUCUUCUUCUAUUGUUCAGUUACUUACUUGUAUGGUUCCCUACUGAUUUUCAAGUAAUCAUUCAGUGGCAGUUUCUGGACCUCGUGCUUGUCUGUCAAAAGUACCCACCCCCAAAACUUUACUAUUAUUUUUCUGUAAGAAACCUACAAGAGUUUUUAUCAUUUUCCUCCUCUUCCAUCCGUUUUUCUUUUGCAGGGUCUAAUUGUUAUCAAUGGAGGAAUCAUGCAGUAGGCUGUAUUGUACAUGAAGUUUUUGUUUGUUCGUUUCAAAUCUUGUGGAUAUUUUCGGCAAUCGCUAAUUGGGAACCCUAGCUAACUGGCUUUUUAAUUUAUCUUUUCAUCAUUUUGUCAUCUCACAUCUGCCAGAGAUCUUCAUUUACCUUUUUUUUUCUUCUCUUUUUUAUAUCUUACUAGCUCAUGUUAUAUCACACUUCAUUAUUUUGUUGUGCAGGUUUUACAUCUAGUGUAGGGUUUUAAGUCUUAUUUCUUUUGCAUCUAAACCAGGAACAACAGGGAGGGGCUGUAUUUAUGGGCUGAAUUGGGGGUAGAACAAUUGAGAAGAAAACCAUAAUGUGUCAGAAUUGUUAAGUACAAUCCAAUCCAUUGAAGGGCCUUGGAUUUGAACUUUUCUGUGUAAAGAUCUUCUAUGGGAGGUUAUACAAUGCAUAUAUUUAUGUAAUAAUAUUAAAAUAACUGUGAUUUAUUAUUAGAUAUUACAACAAAAGGAGAAGAUUUCCAUGGUGUUCAUGCCUUCAUGCAUGUCUACCACCAUUGAGUUAA